RNAcentral lists this long non-coding RNA (1762 nucleotides) under Drosophila guanche. The record is from RNAcentral. Lineage: Eukaryota; Metazoa; Arthropoda; Insecta; Diptera; Drosophilidae.
AUGGAAAUGAUUGUGAAUUGUGCGCCACAGUAGAAGAAAGAACUUAACACCGAGGAACCUAAGAAAGGUAUAUAAGAAGAUGGAAUCGUUUGCAAUUAAAUGCUUUUCAUUAAAUACCUUUUGAUUUUCUGUUGCAUCGGAAUAUAUUUAAUGGAAAUCUUAUUCUUAAGGUCAAUCAGAAGGUUGCCCCAUGCUACAUAAUAUUUCUUAUCAUUUGUUGCAAUAUUUUGCCAUUUUAUGCAACAUUUUCUUUGAGCUGCGCCCAGGCCUGGCCUUUCUUUAUCUCCUAGCCCCGCAGCAUACACAUUAAAUCUACAAAGAUUGCUCAACCCGCUCUCUUCCGCUUGCUUCAACAUACCAUAUUGCGCAUACGCAAUGCAAUCCACAAACAUUUGGCCUUGCUGUUGUUUGCUAACUCUCUGAUCUUCCGCCUGGCAUACAUAUAUACAAAGGAAAUCGACAUCAAACAAAAACAACCUGAGUUAGUUUUAGUUGGAAAUAGGCAGCAAUAGCAGCAGCAACAAGUGCAACCGGUCGACUGCAUUAAUGACAAGAAUUUCUAAUGGGAAAUGCCAAACAGAAAACGAAAAAUUGUUCCAACAACUCAAACGGAAAACAGCAAUAGCCAUAGUUAGGCCCAUUAUAAAGGCGCGACUUUGAAGCUGUAGACAGCGGGGAAUGAAAUUGUAGACUGAGAAGUACAGACAGAGACAGAGAGAUAGAGAGAGAGAGAGAGAGAAGGAGAAAAGUUUUUCUUACGUGACCACAAUAGAAGCAGCAAACAGAAUCGGCAACAGCAUCAGCGCCGACAGCAGUGAAGAUUUACACGUCUGACCUUGGGGUAGCGAAAAUCUUGCUGCAAUCUUCAAUAAUAAAAUUAAAUAUAAUUGCCCAAAGGGGGAUUGGGGUGGGGCCUAGCGAUAGAAUAGCUCUGGCACUAACAAAAGCAAACUGCCAAUCAAAUUGUCAGUCAAGUGGAAACAGAUCCCGCUGCAAACUGCAACUGCAUCAACACGAGCGCGCCGGGGCGAAGAAAUUUUCGCAACAAAAACAACAAACCCCAACUUCUCUCUCUCCCUCUCUCUCUCUUUCAGAAAACUCAACACCCAACUGCAGCAGAUGCAGCAAAUCCAUUUAAAGUGUAACUCGACUAAGUGCACUCAACAUGAAAGGAAAUGUUUGGCACACAUAACCAUGGAGAUUGCUACAACAUCAAAAAGGGUAAAGGUGCAUCUAAAAAUUGUCUUAAAUAUUUUAAAACACAGAAAAAGGAUACAGGGGUUCAACAUUUGAAGCCGAUCUCUUAACAAUACCUGGAGGAAGUCGUUUGGUGCCCCGAGCAACCACUGUACCUCUACUAAACAAGAUGAGUGCAAAACUUGGCAAAAACAAAUAGUGCAAAGACCUUGAAAUGCUGCUGCUGCUGCUGCUGCUGCUGCUGCUGCUGCUGGGACUGGAAAUAAAACAACAAAAUGCAAAAUCACCCUGGAACAACCAGCAAGCAGUGAGAAAGAGAGGCAGUGAAAUAUAGAAACAGAGAGAGGGGGGUGGAAUGAGCGGAGUUGGCAGCACGCAAACUUAGAACCGAAACGAGCGAAACAAAUCGACAAGCGGAUGGAACAGCCACAAAACAGCAACAAUAGCAGCGAAAAUGGCUGUACAUAAGCAUCAGCAUCAUCAAAUGCAAAAGCAAAAGCAACAAUAUCAAAAAAUAUGGCACUGUUAAAAAUAAACAAAAUAAACACACAAAAUACUUGCAAGU